Molecule: long non-coding RNA, 1297 nt
Filed under: Oryctolagus cuniculus (rabbit)
Lineage: Eukaryota; Metazoa; Chordata; Mammalia; Lagomorpha; Leporidae
Description: lncRNA (ENSOCUG00000037286.1)
Source: RNAcentral
AUGUCUACUUCUCAAUGCAACUCUAGGGCCAAAUGUAAGGACACAUUUUUGGAAUGGAGAGACUUGUACCUAGAUUUGGCUCUGGUAACCAAGAAACUUUGCUGCCGAAUGACCUUCUCCUGCUCCUUGGGAGCCUGGCCAGUUCCCAGGGAGGAGGAUAAAGGAAUGUUUUCUGAUAAACAGGUGAGAUGGGGUCAGAAGCUGCAGUUCCCUCCCUCUGGCUCCUCUGGUCUGCUUGCAUGCUCAGGGGUUGGGCACUCCCAGAACAGCCACCAGCUGAGUUGCAGCUGCCCAUGACAGGUAUUGACUUCCCACUGGCAGGGGAGGUGGGGGAAAGGCUUGCUUAGGGGAUCAGCAUUGCUGCCUCCAAGCAGCAGUAGUGCAACUCGUGCUCUAACGAGCCCCGUCUUUCCUGAGAAACCACCAGCACUUCAGCUAGUGUUUUCAUCCAAAACAGGCAAACAGUGAUUAACUUGUUGGGUUCCUGAACCAGGACCCCGACACGUCGAGAUGCGCACCCCAAAGACUCAGAUUCCAAACCAGUAGAUGCAACACGCAAGAGGAUUUAUUCAACGUCUGCGCAGACGGGCCUCUCGACAGCACAAAGCCAUCCCAAGAAGAAGCCCCGAACAGUUGUUAAGGAGCAUUUUUAAAGGGAAAAACCACACAAUUUACUUAAUACACACAAUUUACACACUAAUUGGAGGGUUUAAAUGAUACACACACGAUUCACACACUGGUUGGAGGAUUUAAAUGAGGGGGUUAGUGGCAGGAAAAUUUUUCUGGCUAUUGCAGGAGUCACUUUAAGACUUUAGGGUGGGAUAUCUGCUGCUCGCCAGAAGGUGCUCUGCAACUAGGAGUUAUCGCAAAGCCUCAAGGCGGGGUUCCUGCUGGGAACCAUGUCUCAAGUGACAGCUGGUGCCUAGGGCUCUUUCUAGGAACUAGCACUCUAAGUGGGGCAAAGGUUACUUCUAAGAAUUAACGCACUAAGUAGGACAAAGGUUACUUCAUCUGGGACGGAGGGGAAUGGCUCUUCAAACUUAGAUGGUUUUUCUUACAUCUUAGCACUGGGAGCUUUCAGAAAAAGCAUGGAUUGAUUUCUUUUGCUGUUUCUUGCUUUGAGAAUGUGGUGUUAGUGCUAAUGGAUGAGAAGGAUUUUUGCAGAGAGCCAGUUCUAAGUUUCUAAGUUGUCUGUAUUUACAUAUUUUUUUAAGGUUGAAACUUUAAAAGGUGUUUUUUUUUUUUAUAGACUGAUUCCAAAGGCACUGAGAAUUUUGCUUUGCCUCAGGGUCUUUGA